RNAcentral lists this ribosomal RNA (301 nucleotides) under uncultured bacterium. RNAcentral's name for it is "partial 16S ribosomal RNA". It matches the Rfam family "Bacterial small subunit ribosomal RNA", at positions 509 to 807 of the family's 1533-position model. The record is from RNAcentral.
CAGUCGCCACGGGAAUACAGAGGGUGCGAGCGUUAAUCGGAUUUACUGGGCGUAAAGCGUGCGUAGGCGGCUAAUUGAGUCGGAUGUGAAAUCCACGAGCUUAACUUGGGAAUUGCAUUCGAUACUGGUUAGCUAGAGUGUGGGAGAGGAUGGUAGAAUUCCAGGUGUAGCGGUGAAAUGCGUAGAGAUCUGGAGGAAUACCGAUGGCGAAGGCAGCCAUCUGGCCUAACACUGACGAUGAGGUACGAAAGCAUGGGGAGCAAACAGGAUUAGAUACCCCUGUAGUCCCUGUCUCUUAUAC